Non-coding RNA from Rattus norvegicus (Norway rat), 5013 nucleotides. The record is from RefSeq and is a predicted model, not a curated record. NCBI's taxonomy places the organism in Eukaryota, Metazoa, Chordata, Mammalia, Rodentia, Muridae.
UUGAGGACUUGGCUAGGAAUGCCAUCUUCAGAAUUCUGACCUCUCAGAGCCCAGAGAGAACCACAAGCUGGGGACUGCACUUUGUUAGGUAGCCUGAAGACCCAUCCAAAAUACCAUGGAAGGAGGGCAUUGAACAUGCAGGGGUCAGCAAGAUGCCUCAACAGAUAGAGACGCCGUGAAGCCCGAUGACCAGAAUUCAAGUCCACGGCGUCCACAUGGUAGAAGUCAAGAGCUGACUCUAGAAGUUUGUCUUCUGACUACCACACACACGCUGUGCCACGCCUGUCUCCCUCCCCAGGGAAUGAGUAAGUAGCGGGAAAGCAUCGAACCACUUCCAAACCAUUGCACUCUCUCGAUCUGAACACCCAGGCUAGGGUCUUAGACACUGAGCAUUAAGGCUUCUCAGUUACAAGGUGGGGGCUUCCAAGUUAGUAGGACAAUGGACUCAUACGAUGCCAGGACCAUGGCAGGUGCCCACAGUCAGUGGGGCUUUCUUUUAUCACGACCAUCAUCUGGAGACACAUGAAUCAGAUCAGUUCUUCUGUGGCCUCUUGGCGGUGUACCGAUUCUGCCUUUUUUACUUGUGGCCUGGAGAAAUAGCGAUUCCCAACUUCCUAAGGCAGUAUUUCAAGAUUCACUGACUGUGUGUGUACCUGUGAUUCUCAAGUGUGCCUACCUACCGCCAUCAGUAAAUGGUGGCAAAGAGUAUGACCUGUUCUCAUCGGAACUCAUGUUGAAGUUUAAUUCCAGAUGCAAGAAAAGCCAUCAGUGUCCCCUGUUCUCCACUGUCACAAUAUUAGUUUGUCUGCCCUGCCUCACACUGCCCACCAUGAUGCAGGGGACCCACUGAAGUCAUCAACGAAGUAAGUCUUUCUCUCACUUAAAUUGUUUCUGUCAGGCGUUUUCUCAGAGCAGUGGACAAAAUGAGUAAUAAAAAUUGGGUUGAGUUUGUUCUCUUGAAGAGUUGGCUACAAAAAACAAAAAAAACAAAACAAAAACUAAGCUUCUUUCCUUGCCACCUCUUAUGUUCUUCAUGUGUGUCCCCCCUCUCACCCUUCCCCUUCUCUCCGUUAGCUUCCGCCUGACACGUGAUGCAGCCAGGGAACCCUCACUGAACCUUCUAGCCAUCAGAAUCGGGGCUCAGGUUCCAGAGCUGGUGUCACAUACCCUUGCCUCAGCCUAGAGGUUUGCCUAUCAGGAAACAAGGCUGGCACCUUCUACAGCGGGUUCUGGGAUUUAGGAUUAGCCAGGAAUCAGCACAGUCUGGGAGAGCAAUGGAAGAUCACAGUAUUCACGAACAAGGACAGAUUGACCCGGGACAGGACACAGAACAUACUGUUCCGAGCCAUGGAGCAGAGAAAGGUUUCUCAGUGUCUACCCCACAGACUGGCAGCAUCUAUCCCUCUUUUCGGUGACAGAACUCUUGACUGCCACAAGUCAUGCAGCUGACUUUCCUGCCUUCAGAGGAGUCACGGGUUAACAUGCCUAGACUGCGAUGGAUGAGCCUCAUCUUGGGAAAAUCACCCUCAUGACCACGAGAUCUCCCCUGCCAGGAGGAGCAACAGUGUGGCAUAAAGUUAACCAUGAUCCUAGGAGUCACACAGCCCAGGCUCAAACAUGACUUCUUGUUUCCAGCUGAUCAGUCCGUCUUAGAUGUGAUGUGAUCAGCUGCCUUAAACUCCUGUAGAUUUGACUUCCUGGCUGUGACCGUCUUCACCUUGAACUGAACUGACAACCUCUCCCUCAUGGAGGACUCCCAGCCAGCCAGUAUCAGCCACGGAUGCUCGCCCUAGCAUCUCUCAAGCCCUUGCUGGGAUAUUGUGGGUCACUAGACUGCAGAGCGACAGCAGAGGUGUGUGGCCAUUUCUUGCUCGUGGUGGCAAAUGCAGGGUGCAGGACUUCUAUGGAGAUGCUCGGCUUUUCUGGGUACACUGCUUCUCAUUGUGUAAAUACGAAAUGUCCUCCAGAAGCCAUGUUUGAACCCUUAAGCCCCACGUGGUGACGGCGGGAAGGCGACAGAACCAUUAGGGUGCUGCUUUGCUGGAAGUGCUUCAUCGCUUGGCUUUGGUAUUUUAGUUGGCAUUUGUCUAUUUUUACUUUAUAUUUUCUUUCUCUGCUUCCUGGGUGUGAACGAAAUGGGAUCACUCUGCUCCCUGGCUGCCGAGCCAGCCUCUCGUUCCGGCAUUGGUGUGCUUUCCCCGCUAGGAUAGACUCUACGUCAUCUGGAACUGUAAGCCAGAAUAAACCAUUUCUUCGGCAAGCUACCCUGUUGUAGUAAUUGUUAGAAAAGAAUCUAGCAUGGCAUUAGCGGGUACAUUCAUCUCAGCAGCUGCCUGUCCCAGGGUACCCUGUCAUGCUACCCCCAACUAUUUCCUGUCCCCAGCGGUCUGUCCACCCCAGGUAGUCGCAUGCCAUGGCCGCCCCUUCCUGGCUGGCUCUCUGCCUCGAACUCUGCUCACAUUCCCUGUAACCUGGUAAAAUCGAGACCCAAAAAGCUUAUUAAUUUAGCAAUCAGAUUUAUAUGUUGAAUUUUCAAUCCACAAUACAUCCACACAAUAAACUCAGAGCCGAGUGAGUAACAAUAUAAACCGCCCACCUAGAUAGGAUAAAUUGACCUAUUAAAAAAAACUAUCCCUUAAAUAUUCAUAGCUACCUGUGGCCAUUUAAGGCCACCUGGAUCUGGGUCAUCCUCCUGUGCCUCCUUCUUGGUUCUCAUCCUUACUUUUUACUGUCCAAUUACAGGCUUCACCUUAACUUGCGCCAGCCCUUACCUGCAUAUAGACAUCAACCUACGCUACACUUGUCGUAUUUUAUCAGAAAAGAAACUAACAUGCUGUCUGCCAUCCCCCCACCCCCACCUCCACACACGUACUCAGCAUACCAGUCAUGGUACAGGGUUGUUUAUGGCAGAAGAGUAACGCUUCCUCAUGUCCUCCUUUAUCCAAUGAGACAGACAGCUAAGAUGCCCUACUGUCACCCACGAUAAGCAGAUGGUCAGCAUCAUGACUACGUGAGGCUCAGAACAGUCAAGGCGCAGCCAAAUACUUGAGGACCGUUAACUCCAUUAAAGCAGAAGAUAAUUUUGACACCUAAAUCUUCUUUGAGUGUGUCUAACACUGUCAGGAUUUGCUUCAGAAUAUACAAAACAAAUCUCUGAGUUAGGAUUAGGAGCUAGAGUAGGGUAGAGUUUCUGCUUCGGGGCCGCUAACCUGUUCAAGGCGUGACACAUUUGAGCUCUGAGGCAGUUGCACUGUGUUCAGUGUAAUGCUCUUACUUGUCUCAUCCACCCGAUGAAGUAAACCGUCUCUCAACAUUACACCUUUGGUUAGGAAAGGAAGUCCAUCUUAAGUACAGAUCCGGGGACAAACUCUGCUGCCCUUGGAGGGAAGCAUGGCCUCUGAGUGAUCGAUGUUUGGUUUGCACUGUGUUUGGAAAAGCCCAUGGAGUCUUCGGCUGGGCUGUGCUCUUUGAAAACAGGCAGCACGAUGACCCCCCUCUUCUCUGCCCAUUGAUCUACAUAACUUCUAAAGACAAGGCAUGUGACACUGGCCACACAAACAGAGACUGCUUUGAUGACAGGAAAGGGACUUUCUGCUCCUAUUUUUCUGAAAGAAAUGUGUAUUUUUGCGUGGUUCUUUACCCAACAGUUUGGCCUUUGAUGCCUCCUUUUGUCUAGUAGGUGCCACGAUGAAGCACCAACUCUCGAGGGCUCAUCCUCCCUAAGGGUCCACAUCCCUGUGCUAGCUCAGCCCCCUGCCCUGUGCCUUCAUGCCCCCCGCCCCCACUCCUUUAAGCUCUUCCCCCAUGUUGUGAGACAGGGCUUCACCUUGUAACUUGGAUUUAGACCUGAAAUUUACUAUGUAGAACUCUUACUCCUCCCAGAUUGUCCUCAUUUUGCUUUUUCGAGUCUUUUGUAUGCUUACUUUUUUUUUUUUUUUUUUUUUUAUGAAUCGAGAGCAGUAGGGUUAAGUCUUCCCAUGUGGUUCUCUUUGCCCAUGUGAUAGUACCUCUGGCAGUUGCUUUAUAAACUCGAUGCUGUGUUAUUUGAUGCACAUGUACCCAUCACCGUUAGAGUGUAUUCCGUGUUAUACCCUUUGUGACUGAAGAGCAACCCUCUUCACACUAUGCAGAGCUUCUUGGUGACAUGUCUAUAUGUUUGAAAAGCUUUUAUGUUAAAGAUGAUUGUUGGAAGAAACAAAAUAAAAAAUAAUUGUUGAGAUCAGUUGAUGGACACUUAGAUAUUAAUUGUUGUGUCCUUUCAACUUCUCCAAAGGCCUCCUACUGAAAAGUUAGGAUGUGGUAGGCUGCCAAUGAGAAAGCCACUCAGAGUUUAUAUUCACACGUGGCUGCGGUUCGAGGGACAGGAAGUGAACAAUUUCAACCUCAGAAGACAGAUUUAAAUCUAGGACCGAGAGCCAGAAAGAUGUCUCGGCAGUUAAGAAUAUGUGCACUGAACCUGGGCUCAUUUCAGAGCACCAGCAUUGAGUGCCUCGCAGCCACCUGUAACUGCAGCUCAAGGGGAUCUGAUGCCCUCUUUUGGCCUCUGCACGCAUUUCACUUAACCGUACGCACACACUUAAAAGAACCAGGAGUCGUCAGUGUCCUUAGGACCCCGUUCCUUAUGGAAUAGGAGCAAAGAACCUCGAAGAAUCGUUGCAGUCAUGGAAUGCCCUAUGUGAAAAUGGAACUCAUGUAAGGAGUGUUCAGUGAAAAUGACAUUUGCAUCUUAGGGAGGGUCCUCCCCAGGACAACCAGUAUUUUUUUUUUCCCCUCAAGAGUCCUGAUUUUGAAGCCAAGGUUUUGGCACCAAGUUAAACCACCUUAGGCAAAUCAAUUUAACUUUUGGGUCUGUCUUAUUUUUAUUUGUCAAGUAAUACAUGUCAUGGAAAUUGUUAUAAUAAGAGUCACUAAUAUACAAUUGCAAUAUAUGAUAAUCAAUUAAGAGUGUAUAUUAAUUAAAAAAUUUUGCUCUCUCAACAAAAUACCAGUGUGGUGCAUUUAUUGUUCACUGCA